UAUGGCUGUCGUCAGCUCGUGUCGUGAGAUGUUGGGUUAAGUCCCGCAACGAGCGCAACCCUCGUCCUUAGUUGCCAUCAUUUAGUUGGGCACUCUAAGGAAACCGCCGGUGAUAAGCCGGAGGAAGGUGGGGAUGACGUCAAGUCCUCAUGGCCCUUACGCGCUGGGCUACACACGUGCUACAAUGGCGGUGACAGCGGGCUGCUACCUCGCGAGGGGAAGCUAAUCCCGAAAAGCCGUCUCAGUUCGGAUUGUUCUCUGCAACUCGAGAGCAUGAAGGCGGUAUCGCUAGUAAUCGCGGAUCAGCAUGCCGCGGUGAAUACGUUCCCAGGCCUUGUACACACCGCCCGUGGGGCGGGGGCGACGGCAUG
RNAcentral lists this ribosomal RNA (371 nucleotides) under uncultured Sphingomonadaceae bacterium. RNAcentral describes it as "bacterial SSU rRNA". It matches the Rfam family "Bacterial small subunit ribosomal RNA", at positions 1044 to 1417 of the family's 1533-position model. Lineage: Bacteria; Pseudomonadati; Pseudomonadota; Alphaproteobacteria; Sphingomonadales; Sphingomonadaceae. The record is from RNAcentral.